UACCAGACUCCUACGGGAGGCAGCAGUGGGGGAUAUUGCACAAUGGGGGGAACCCUGAUGCAGCGACGCCGCGUGGGUGAAGGAGUGCUUCGGCAUGUAAAGCCCUAUCGGCAGGGAAGAAGCAAGACGGUGCCUGACUAAGAAGCCCCGGCUAACUACGUGCCAGCAGCCGCGGUAAUACGUAGGGGGCAAGCGUUAUCCGGAUUUACUGGGUGUAAAGGGGGCGCAGACGGCAGCGCAAGCCAGGAGUGAAAGCCCGGGGCCCAACCCCGGGACUGCUCUUGGAACUGCGCGGCUGGAGUGCAGGAGGGGCAGGCGGAAUUCCUGGUGUAGCGGUGAAAUGCGUAGAUAUCAGGAGGAACACCGGUGGCGAAGGCGGCCUGCUGGACUGCGACUGACGUUGAGGCCCGAAAGCGUGGGGAGCAAACAGGAUUAGAUACCCUAGUAA
This 448-nucleotide ribosomal RNA is filed under the name uncultured bacterium. RNAcentral describes it as "partial 16S ribosomal RNA". It matches the Rfam family "Bacterial small subunit ribosomal RNA", at positions 329 to 793 of the family's 1533-position model. The record is from RNAcentral.